CGGAUUUGGCGGCAAGAUAGCUUUUUAGAGGAACCUGCCCUGUGAACGAUGAUCCACGAGAGCCUUACUUUAUUUUGAAAUCAGUUUGUAUACCGCUGUUGUCAGUUAGAUUUUUGAGAAUAUUUUCUUUUUGGUAAAGCCAAUGACUUCAAGUAAAGGUGCAGCUUAUAGUAAAGUUAGAGGUGGGUUACAUUUAUAAGAAUAAGACGGAUUAAGGAUUUAAUUGACUUAUGAAGGUGGAUUUAACUGUAAA
RNAcentral lists this ribosomal RNA (253 nucleotides) under Chelonibia testudinaria. RNAcentral's name for it is "partial 12S ribosomal RNA". The record is from RNAcentral. Lineage: Eukaryota; Metazoa; Arthropoda; Thecostraca; Balanomorpha; Chelonibiidae.